UAAAGAAGGAGCAUGAUAACAGCACAAACACUAACUACAACUAAACAAAAUGGCUUCCUUUUAUACUCUACCUUUUCAGGUGAGCAUCUGGAAUAGCCCAAGUAUGGGGGUUAACUAAUCAAAAUGGACACAUAACCCUCCACACAAACAAACAUACAAUAACAUUAAAGCACAUCACAAACAUAUACAUAUUUCCAACACAUACUAUAAACAAACCAAUAACAUAAGCUUCACCCAUUUCUAUCUAAAUUAAAACCCUCUUUAUCCAUACUCCCUAACCUGGCACACUGGUCUGCCCCAAGAGCUCUUAAACAGGUGAUUGAGCCGCUUUCACUCUUUUGCUCCACAUCCUGCAAGAAGCAACUAGGACAGGUAGGAUGGCCAGUCCCACUGUCUCUUUUCUGUUACAAGCUGUCAAUUUAAUUGUAUAUCAAAUAACCUAAUAAAAGACUCCAAAAGA
Non-coding RNA from Maylandia zebra (zebra mbuna), 460 nucleotides. Lineage: Eukaryota; Metazoa; Chordata; Actinopteri; Cichliformes; Cichlidae. The record is from RefSeq and is a predicted model, not a curated record.